This 492-nucleotide ribosomal RNA is filed under the name uncultured bacterium. Its description in RNAcentral is "partial 16S ribosomal RNA". It matches the Rfam family "Bacterial small subunit ribosomal RNA", at positions 29 to 507 of the family's 1533-position model. The record is from RNAcentral.
AGUGAACGCUGGCGGUAGGCCUAACACAUGCCAGUCGAACGGCAGCACAGUAAGAGCUUGCUCUUACGGGUGGCGGGUGGCGGACGGGUGAGGUAUACAUCGGAAUCUACUUUUUCGUGGGGGAUAACGUAGGGAAACUUACGCUAAUACCGCAUACGACCUACGGGUGAAAGCAGGGGAUCUUCGGACCUUGCGCGAUUGAAUGAGCCGAUGUCGGAUUAGCUAGUUGGCGGGGUAAAGGCCCACCAAGGCGACGCUCCGUAGCUGGUCUGAGAGGAUGAUCAGCCACACUGGAACUGAGACACGGUCCAGACUCCUACGGGAGGCAGCAGUGGGGAAUAUUGGACAAUGGGCGCAAGCCUGAUCCAGCCAUACCGCGUGGGUGAAGAAGGCCUUCGGGUUGUAAAGCCCUUUUGUUGGGAAAGAAAAGCAGCAGGUUAAUACCCAGCUGCUCUGACGGUACCCAAAGAAUAAGCACCGGCUAACUUCGUG